UGCUCUUCUGAUCUAGAAAUUGUAUCCAAGAAAUUGUGAGACUGAGCUUUGUAUUCUGGAGAGUUAAUGCGGUGUCUCACAGCUUCUCAGAAGACUCACAGUAUAACUAAACAUUAUAUAUGAGCCUUUGUCUGUUAAUUUAUCAGACUUUUAAAGGGAAUUCAGCUUUAUAACUCUCAAUAUUUGAUCACACUUCUAUAUUUGUCCUAGAAUGAUGGAGAAAGGGAACGACUGUUAAUUCAUAAGUAAAGACUUUGCAGAAAAUUAGGCAGUGUUUUGUUUUUGUAAA
Molecule: long non-coding RNA, 289 nt
Organism: Aethalodelphis obliquidens (Pacific white-sided dolphin)
Lineage: Eukaryota; Metazoa; Chordata; Mammalia; Artiodactyla; Delphinidae
Exons: 3
Source: RefSeq, a predicted model, not a curated record